CCUACGGGUGGCAGCAGUGAGGAAUAUUGGUCAAUGGGCUUACGCCUGAACCAGCCAAGUCGCGUGAGGGAAGACUGCCCUAGGGGUUGUAAACCUCUUUUGUCAGGGAGCAACGCCGGCUACGUGUAGCCGGACUGAGAGUACCUGAAGAAAAAGCAUCGGCUAACACCGUGCCAUCAGCCGCGGGAAUGCGGAGGAUGCGAGCGUUAUCCGGAUUUAGUGGGUGUAAAGGGUGCGUAGGCGGAAUGGCAAGUCAGCGGUAAAAUCGCGGGGCUCAACCUCGCUCCGACGUUGAAACUGGCAUUCUUGAGUGGGCGAGAGGUAUGCGGAAUGCGUGGUGUAGCGGUGAAAUG
This 353-nucleotide ribosomal RNA is filed under the name uncultured bacterium. Its description in RNAcentral is "partial 16S ribosomal RNA". It matches the Rfam family "Bacterial small subunit ribosomal RNA", at positions 338 to 688 of the family's 1533-position model. The record is from RNAcentral.